GUGCUUGCUUUGGCAGCACGCACACUGACAUUGGAACGAUACAGAGAAGAUGGGAAUGGCCCCGGCCACGCCAAUUUGUGAAGCGUUCCAUAGUUUA
Molecule: small nuclear RNA, 97 nt
Filed under: Echinops telfairi (small Madagascar hedgehog)
Lineage: Eukaryota; Metazoa; Chordata; Mammalia; Afrosoricida; Tenrecidae
Source: RNAcentral